GUAAAGAAAAACAAAUGUACUUAUAUAUGGUCAUAAUAAGGUUGACCGUUUCUACCCAGCACCGGAAAUGUUGGUCUAUAAGUAAAGAAGUGUCUUUA
Regulatory RNA element from Melissococcus plutonius ATCC 35311, 98 nucleotides. It matches the Rfam family "Purine riboswitch aptamer". From Rfam's summary of the family: Riboswitches are metabolite binding domains within certain messenger RNAs that serve as precision sensors for their corresponding targets. Allosteric rearrangement of mRNA structure is mediated by ligand binding, and this results in modulation of gene expression. Lineage: Bacteria; Bacillati; Bacillota; Bacilli; Lactobacillales; Enterococcaceae. The record is from Rfam.